Molecule: ribosomal RNA, 489 nt
Filed under: uncultured bacterium
Lineage: Bacteria
Description: partial 16S ribosomal RNA
Rfam family: Bacterial small subunit ribosomal RNA
Source: RNAcentral
GACGAACGCUGGCGGCGUGCUUAACACAUGCAAGUCGAACGGAAAGGCCCCCAUCUUGGUGGGGGUGCUCGAGUGGCGAACGGGUGAGUAACACGUGGGUGAUCUGCCCUGUACUUCGGGAUAAGCUUGGGAAACUGGGUCUAAUACCGGAUAGGACCAUGGUUUAGUGUCUCAUGGUGGAAAGAUUAUUGUUUUGGUGCAGGAUGAGCUCGCGGCCUAUCAGCUUGUUGGUGGGGUAAUGGCCUACCAAGGCGUCGACGGGUAGCCGGCCUGAGAGGGUGGACGGCCACACUGGGACUGAGAUACGGCCCAGACUCCUACGGGAGGCAGCAGUGGGGAAUAUUGCACAAUGGGCGCAAGCCUGAUGCAGCGACGCCGCGUGGGGGAUGACGGCCUUCGGGUUGUAAACUCCUUUCGUUAGGGACGAAGCCGCACUUUUUUUGGGUGUGGUGACGGUACCUUUGUUAAGAAGCACCGGCUAACUACGUG